CAUGCCGUAAACGAUGAUUACUAGGUGUGGGUGGUCUGACCCCAUCCGUGCCGGAGUUAACACAAUAAGUAAUCCACCUGGGGAGUACGACCGCAAGGUUGAAACUCAAAGGAAUUGACGGGGGCCCGCACAAGCAGUGGAGUAUGUGGUUUAAUUCGAAGCAACGCGAAGAACCUUACCAGGUCUUGACAUCUACCUGAUUCUUCAGAAAUGAGGGAGUGCCCUUCGGGGAAAGGUAAGACAGGUGG
This 248-nucleotide ribosomal RNA is filed under the name uncultured bacterium. RNAcentral describes it as "partial 16S ribosomal RNA". It matches the Rfam family "Bacterial small subunit ribosomal RNA", at positions 796 to 1041 of the family's 1533-position model. The record is from RNAcentral.